GCACCGCUGAAGAGUCCCACAAUGGGGCGAAAUGACCAUCCAGUGC
RNAcentral lists this non-coding RNA (46 nucleotides) under Schistosoma margrebowiei. Lineage: Eukaryota; Metazoa; Platyhelminthes; Trematoda; Strigeidida; Schistosomatidae. The record is from RNAcentral.